RNAcentral lists this ribosomal RNA (492 nucleotides) under uncultured bacterium. RNAcentral describes it as "partial 16S ribosomal RNA". It matches the Rfam family "Bacterial small subunit ribosomal RNA", at positions 29 to 507 of the family's 1533-position model. The record is from RNAcentral.
AGUGAACGCUGGCGGUAGGCCUAACACAUGCAAGUCGAACGGCAGCACAGUAAGAGCUUGCUCUUACGGGUGGCGAGUGGCGGACGGGUGAGGAAUACAUCGGAAUCUACUUUUUCGUGGGGGAUAACGUAGGGAAACUUACGCUAAUACCGCAUACGACCUACGGGUGAAAGCAGGGGAUCUUCGGACCUUGCGCGAUUGAAUGAGCCGAUGUCGGAUUAGCUAGUUGGCGGGGUAAAGGCCCACCAAGGCGACGAUCCGUAGCUGGUCUGAGAGGAUGAUCGGCCACACUGGAACUGAGACACGGUCCAGACUCCUACGGGAGGCAGCAGUGGGGAAUAUUGGACAAUGGGCGCAAGCCUGAUCCAGCCAUACCGCGUGGGUGAAGAAGGCCUUCGGGUUGUAAAGCCCUUUUGUUGGGAAAGAAAAGCAGCAGGUUAAUACCACGCUGUUCUGACGGUACCCAAAGAAUAAGCACCGGCUAACUUCGUG